This is a non-coding RNA of Drosophila melanogaster (fruit fly), 3208 nucleotides long. The record is from Ensembl. Lineage: Eukaryota; Metazoa; Arthropoda; Insecta; Diptera; Drosophilidae.
UGUCUGCUGUCUUCAGCUGCCGUUGCCUUUUCUUCUCCUCUCGGUUUAUUCUUUUUUUUUCUUGUGUGUCUGUUUCGUUUUUAUGUUUUUUUGUUGGUUUUGGCGCUGUCGGAAAAUGUCCGUUGCCAUUUCCAUUGCAGCCGUCUUCCGUUUGGGCGCUGUCCCUCCGUCGUUUGCCAUGCCCCCGUGUAAUUAGCUGGGUUCCCUAUCUUCGACAUUGUCUGGCAUUUCUCGGGUAUUUAUGUACUUUGCUGCAGACAGGACAAGCUACAUACAAUUUGGUUCAAAUGCCAUUGAUCUUGAACUUGAUUCAACUCAUAAGUGCAUUCAUCAGACAAAUCUGUCGACAGACAUGCGUUUAUUUCCUUGACUCGUCGCCAGCAAAUAAUUUCAAGCUUGAGUUCGCAUUCAGUGGACUAGAAAGAAAGUCAAUGUCGAAGAGCCUCUAUUAAAUUAGCAUUUCGCUGUCGCCCUGGCACGCUCUUCCGAGUAAUGCCCAUUCCCAUGUCCCAGUCUCCACUGCAACUCCGGAUCCGGACGAGACGGCAUAUCUCCGGUGCUUGGCCAGCUGAUGAUGAUGACUGGAGAUUUCUGGCAGCGAACGGCGCCAGAGAAUCGUAAAAUAUUUUUAUACAAAUAUCGCAGCAGUUAGAACAAAAGAUUUGAUUUGAAAAUGUAACGCUUCACGCCUGCAAAAAUACCGACAAAGAAAUGUCACACAAAAGACAGUGGGAUGCAAGCAGAUCUCUGUUCAGAUACACUAGGUGGACCUUCGGAUAAAUCAGGUGUAAUUGCGUCAUGCGGGUGCAUGGUAAACUAGAUCGACAGUAAACCUAAUCGAGACAGAGACACAUAAGUUGACGCGACAUCGGCACAGCCCAUAAAGUGACCACGCUCCUUGGAUUCCAAGGAUUCCCAGGACAGGUCGUUUUGCGGUGUGUCUCGCCUUGCUGGGUGUGAAGUGUCCCGUGGGCGGCGGUGUCUUUAGUUGCUCAAGAUGCAUGUACCUGAGCACAGUCGUCUGUCGCCAAUUGAAGUAAUAAUUUUCUAUUGUCCUUCGUCGCGCCUUCCUCCAUAAAGCAAAUGUACUUCAGAGCACUGAGAAGGACGCGACAAGUGGCUGGCUCUGGGUACUCUGUUCGGUUCAAGUAGCCAAGUGGCGCCAGACGAUCCAAGUCCCUCGGCCAGAGGACAUCUUUGUGAGUCCGCUAUCUGCCGCCUUGGAUCUGCAGAUGCUGAACGGUAGCGGUCAAGCUGCCAGAGGUUGACAACGACAUAUGUUCGUGCUGGAUAAGAUUGGGCCAGAGAAGAUUAGCUGCCGGGGAGAAGGGAUUUGGAUUGGGUAUACGGGUGGACGGAAGCUCUCGAACAACCCACACAAUCUCUUAGGCAAAAGGUUUUUUUUCUUGGUUUUUGGUAGAUACUAAGCCGGUGCUCAAGGUGCGUCGAGAGCAUCAUUAAGGCAGGAAGGCAAAGGUAACUACGGGACGGGAGUCCAGACCACAAGCAACGAUGAUUUAAUUUUCCAACACGCUUUCUACCACGCCAGCAUAAAGCAUCGUUGAAUCUCAAAAUCUGGGGUUUUGAAUUUGGAUUUUUCUCGUUUUUUUUUUUUUUUGCUUUUUGGUAUUCCAUGGAUGAUCGAUGGCCUGUCGUUGAGAUGAUCACUUUCUGUAGCUGCCUAGCGGCUACUAGUUGAGAUACUUAACGACGAUCCAAGAGGGCGCCACUCGGGCCUUAUAAUUUGUUAAGAUGUUUGGAUCGAUGGAUGGAUGGAUCGAUCGAUGGAUGAUUGGGGAUGCCUGGAUUGAUUGCCCUUUCUCUGCAUAAUAUUUAUGUAUGUAUAUUUCUCACGCGGCGCGAGAGAGCCGCAUUCUCGUAUGCAUUUUGGGCGACCGAAAGUGCUUUUCUGGGCUACCGAUAAUCGCGGCGAUCAUCUGCAGUAGGAGACGCCAUCAUCGCCUUAUCAGCGACUCGGCAUCUGAGAACAUUAAAUAGCUACUUAAGAUACAGCUUCCCGACGGCUGCAGUGGUAUCGCUUCCAUGCCAUAUCGAUUACCAUUAAGCCGAGGGCAAUUGACCUGAACCCAACAGAAGUCGAACGGUGUGUAAUCGAUACGAUCGGCUAUCUAUGGUUGAUCUUUUGCCAGGCAGAUAUUUCGCAACUGUGUCGGCAUUUUCAGCCUGUGAUCACUGAUCAACCUAGCCAUGAUCUAUGAUUGCCCCGGGCCGUUUGCCAUUUGCCAGUUGUUAGUUGCCAAAUGCCCGAAGCCUCCAGCUACACAUAUAUUAUAUGUACAUAUGUACAUACAUACAUAUGUACACCCAUUUCUAUCGACUCAUUUGGCAUGCCGCUCACAGCUCACUCGCACUAAUUAAAAUAAAUUCUGUCAGACAUUCUCGUUUAAUUUUUUCGCGCACCUUGUUGCUUUGUUUUUUUGACCAGAUCCAUGGAUACCAAACGUUGAAGCGAGAAAACAAGCAAUAAAUACGUCAGCAGCCAAUACGUCAAAGGCAUUUCGACUGACAGACUGACUGCGCUGGCAACUUAAAAUGCACAUUAUUAAUUAGUUGUUAUAAUUGCAUUUAAAAAUCCAUUAAUAUUUAUAGAAUUCAUAAUAAAUAAUGAGGAUCGGUCUGGCAUGGACCAAACUGGAGCUCUCGAGACGGCGACAUCGACGCCUCCAAAUGCCAAAAUGGUAUUUUUCGUUGGACAGGACGGACUUUUGGACCAAGUUUGGCAAUUUAUGCGUCCAGAUUCGUGAUGUGUGUGGCAUAUAUGAAGCCCAGUCACAAGUUGCCUUUGACAAAUUCUCCAAGAAUGUGUCCGCAAGAUUUCAGGGCAUUGCAGCGGGCAUAUCAGCAAUGUAGUGCGGUUUGUUUCACUUCACAUAAGGAUUCAGUUAAUCUAGAGAUUAAGUACCCUUCUCUGGUUGAAUAUUACAAGCUAACUAUAUACUAUAUUAAACCGAAGAAAAAAAAAUAUUUCUCUGAACUUAUUUUAUGAAAAAGUUGAUAUAUAUUGAAAUAACAAGUUAUGAAAAGUUAAAUUAUAAAAACUAAGACCUCAGCAAUCAUGUUUUUCCAGGAUCUGAUACUUAGUUGUUUUUAAUGAUUCCAAAUUGCACCUAAAUAGGUAUUUUAUGAGGCUAGUAUACUUUGAAUACUGUGAAUUUUUGUAAUAAAUGUUUCUAUUUAAAAAACUCUA